AUAGCCAGGCAUUCAUGACGAUGGCACUUAUCAAGAAAAAGACACACAUUCUCUAUUUUGUUGCUCUUUUGCUGAUGUGUACCCCUUUUCUGUGUGGCCCUGUAGCAGCUGGGAGGGACAUAGGUAAUUUCCAAAUACGUUUCUUGAAUGAGUUUCUCGAUAUUCAACAAACCCAAAUGAUUAAGUAUCUUGUAUUCCAUAUGUAUUAAUUUGUAUGUUGUGGUGCUUCCUGCAUUGUGUUUAGGUACCAACACUGCAUUUGGAAACCAAUGUUUUACUUACUCGGUAUGCAUGGACCCAUAUCAAUACGCCGUUGAUUACUGCAAUAAAGAGUGAAAAAUUCUUGUCUAUGACGGGCAGAAAGGCUACUACAAGAAGGAGAAUAACGGCGUGUGUUGUUGUGUUGCUCCCUCCCUAAUGUGAAAAUCAUGUUAUACUAUCAUUUUAUAGAAAACCAUUGCUUGUAUUUGCUAGUCAGAAUACCAAUUUAUAUGAAUUAUAUGAGAAUUUCAAUAAAUUAUAGAGGUAGUU
RNAcentral lists this long non-coding RNA (531 nucleotides) under Triticum aestivum (bread wheat). RNAcentral's name for it is "long non-coding RNA (TAES_LNC008957)". The record is from RNAcentral. Lineage: Eukaryota; Viridiplantae; Streptophyta; Magnoliopsida; Poales; Poaceae.